Gambusia affinis (western mosquitofish) is the source of this 511-nucleotide long non-coding RNA. RefSeq lists it as uncharacterized. The record is from RefSeq and is a predicted model, not a curated record. NCBI's taxonomy places the organism in Eukaryota, Metazoa, Chordata, Actinopteri, Cyprinodontiformes, Poeciliidae. The transcript has 3 exons.
AUCAGCCCUCGAGGACCAGGAGUGCCCACCCCUGGUUUAUGGUUUUCUCAUUGGAUUUCCACAAAGAAUCAGAUCCGCUGUUUCUCCUACUGCCAGUUACCUGCUCUGCCGUUCAUCAUUCCUCCAUCCUGCUUCAUCAGACCCCUGGUUCCACCCUCCUCACACUAAUCUGAGGCUUCACCAUCAACCAUUCUCCACACAGGACCCUGGCCAUCUUUUCCUCCACACCUCACUCUAAAUCAUUUUAAAACGCCACCGAUCUCAUGACCCUUUCCAUCCUCCUGAAGGAUCAAGAUCUGUUAGUUGUUUAUUUCUUUAAAAAUAAAACCAAUUCCUUAUUUGGACUCUGUUGAUUCUGCAUGUGGGUCAGGAGGUUAAAUCUGACCCACAUCCUACAUCCUACAGUUUAAGAUGUUUUGAAAUGGGUGUGCUGUGGUGCCCUAGGGGAUAGCGUGACCCAUGUUCGGAGGUCUUGAGUCCUCGACGCGGCUGUCGCAGGUUCGAAUCCCGG